AAAAGAUAGAUAAUAACAAGAUAGAAAGUGCUAGAGUUCUUACGCUGAUCAUCAGGGAGCUACAUUUGUAUUUUGAAGAUUCAUGGAGACACCAAAAUUAGUAAAGCGAGGUGGUUCUUCUUUGUUUUUAUCAACUAGUGUCAGGAAUUAGCAAAACAAUCACUUCCAGAAGUUCCUGCUAGAUACAUACGAACUGAUCAGGAACCAUUGAGUAAUACCACCGGUACGUCUAUGAUAGAUCAACCAGUGCCUGUUAUAGAUUUGCAGAAAUUACUUUCUCCAGAGCCGAUCAUUGGAGAGUUAGAAUUGGUCAAGCUUCACUCUGCUUGCAAACAAUGGGGUUUCUUUCGGUUCAGUUGGUGAACCAUGGAGUUGACAAUUUAUUGGUGGAGAAAAUGAAAUCUGAAAUUCAAGGUUUGUUCAAUGCAUGAGAAGCAGAAAUUUUGGAAGAAAGAACGGAUACGGAAGGAUUUGAACAAAAUUUUAUUCAAUCAGAAGACCAAAAACUUGAUUGGGGAGAUAUGUUUGGGAUGGUAACUCUUCCCAAACAAAUGAGGAAUCCUAGGCUACUUCCCAACCUGCCUCUACCUCUCAGGGAAACAAUUGAAGCAUACUCAUUUGAGUUGAGUAAACUGAACAUGACUCUUACUGACUUGAUGGAAAAGGCUCUAAAAAUGGAGACUAGGGCCAUGGCAGAGUUGUUUGAUGGCGGAGGACAAGGAAUGAGGAUGAAUUAUUAUCCUCCUUGCCCUCAACCAGAGAACCUCAUUGGCUUAACACCACAUUCAGAUGCUGGCGGCUUGACCAUCCUCCUUCAACUCAACGAAGUAGAUGGAUUACAAUUAGAAAAGACAAGAUAUGGCUUCCCAUUAAACCUCUACCUAAUGCCUUUGUAGUGAACGUUGGCGAUAUUUUGGAGAUGAUGAGUAAUGAGAUUUACCGUAGCGUGGAACACCGUGAAACAAUAAACUUAUCAAAGGAGAGUCUCUCAGUUGCAAAAUUUCAUAGACCUAAAGGAGAUACUUUAAUAGGUCUAAUAGUCAGCAUGAUCACACCAGAGACACCUGCAUUGUUUAGAACAAUUGGGUACGAGGAUUAUAUGAUGAAAUUUAUUUCUCGUAAACUCUACGGAAAAUCAUUACUCAACUCCAUGAGGAUAUAGUAGAAGAUGACGAAGACA
Molecule: long non-coding RNA, 1180 nt
Organism: Papaver somniferum (opium poppy)
Lineage: Eukaryota; Viridiplantae; Streptophyta; Magnoliopsida; Ranunculales; Papaveraceae
Exons: 4
Source: RefSeq, a predicted model, not a curated record